This 500-nucleotide ribosomal RNA is filed under the name Rhodofomes incarnatus. RNAcentral's name for it is "partial small subunit ribosomal RNA". It matches the Rfam family "Bacterial small subunit ribosomal RNA", at positions 398 to 940 of the family's 1533-position model. Lineage: Eukaryota; Fungi; Basidiomycota; Agaricomycetes; Polyporales; Fomitopsidaceae. The record is from RNAcentral.
CUCGCAAGAGUGAACUAGCUAACUGAAAUCAUAAAUUGAAUAUUUUCAAUAUGAUGUGGUAAGGGAAAAUAAUGAUACUACCUUACUUAUAGUGUUGUCUAAGUCUGGUGCCAGAAGACUCGGUAAGGCCAGGAACGCAAACGUUAAUCAUCUUGAACAGGCGUAAAGGGUUUGUAGGCAGCUCUUUAAAUUUUAGAGCUAGAAUCAUAAAUGAGUUAAGCCGUAUAAUACUUAGAGAAGGGGUUAUAUCCUUAGAACCUAGGUGGAAUACUAAAGGUGUAAACAACUAGCUACAAAUGAUUGACGCUGAGAGACGAAGGUGAGGAUAGGAAAUAGGAUUAGAUACCCCGGUACCCCUCUCUGUAAACGAUGAAUGGUAAUCAUUAAUAUAUUAUUAAUUAGUGGUAAAGUUAACACGUUAACCAUUCCGCCUUGGGAGUACGAUCGCAAGGUUGAAAACAAAAAAAUUAGUCGGUCUCGGAGCAAACGGAAUGAAGCAU